Molecule: ribosomal RNA, 497 nt
Filed under: uncultured bacterium
Lineage: Bacteria
Description: partial 16S ribosomal RNA
Rfam family: Bacterial small subunit ribosomal RNA
Source: RNAcentral
GACGAACGCUGGCGGCGUGCCUAAUACAUGCAAGUAGAACGCUGAAGAGAGGAGCUUACUCUUCUUGGAUGAGUUGCGAACGGGUGAGUAACGCGUAGGUAACCUGCCUUGUAGCGGGGGAUAACUAUUGGAAACGAUAGCUAAUACCGCAUAACAAUGGAUGACACAUGUCAUUUAUUUGAAAGGGGCAAUUGCUCCACUACAAGAUGGACCUGCGUUGUAUUAGCUAGUAGGUGAGGUAAUGGCUCACCUAGGCGACGAUACAUAGCCGACCUGAGAGGGUGAUCGGCCACACUGGGACUGAGACACGGCCCAGACUCCUACGGGAGGCAGCAGGAGGGAAUCUUCGGCAAUGGGGGCAACCCUGACCGAGCAACGCCGCGUGAGUGAAGAAGGUUUUCGGAUCGUAAAGCUCUGUUGUAAGUCAAGAACGGGUGUGAGAGUGGAAAGUUCACACUGUGACGGUAGCUUACCAGAAAGGGACGGCUAACUACGUG